CGUAGGUGAACCUGCGGAAGGAUCAUUGUCGCUGACUCGGGAAAAUAUGACCGGAGCACGUGUGAUAGAGCAAUCGCCGGGGCGGCGGUGCCGCGCCGGCUUCACCAGCCCGGUCCUCGCGCCCUCCGGCGCGCUGGCCGCGUGCUGAAAAUGGCGUGGGUCGACGCCAAGGAACACCCGACGCGGAGGCGGCGGCGCGGCGCGUCGAGCGUCGUGCCCGCUGUCGAUGCCGAGGAAAGAAAAGAAAAAGGAAAAUACGAUGACUCUCGGCAACGGAUAUCUCGGCUCUCGCAUCGAUGAAGAACGUAGCGAAAUGCGAUACGUGGUGUGAAUUGCAGAAUCCCGCGAACCAUCGAGUUUUUGAACGCAAGUUGCGCCCGAGGGACCUGCCGAGGGCACGCCUGCCUCAUGGGCGUCAUACGCCUAUCGACGCCCAGGAUCCCGGCCCUGUUCCUCGUGACGGGUCAGUCCUGAUGCGGAUCGUGGCCCUCCGAGCCCGACGGCGCGGCGGGCCCAAGUGUGCCUCGGUCGGAUGUGGCCGGGAGCGGCGAGUGGUGGGUUCUGCUCGCGCUGCCCCGUGCCUUUUCCCGGCGUCGGGCGUUUUGUCGGACCCACGGACGAGGAAGGAGGAUGUUGGCCUCCUCGGACCAAUACCCCAGGUCAGGCGGGGCUACCCGCCGAGUUUAAGCAUA
RNAcentral lists this unclassified non-coding RNA (692 nucleotides) under Scleria depauperata. RNAcentral's name for it is "sequence contains ITS1, 5.8S rRNA gene, ITS2". The stretch from base 262 to 415 matches the Rfam family "5.8S ribosomal RNA". Lineage: Eukaryota; Viridiplantae; Streptophyta; Magnoliopsida; Poales; Cyperaceae. The record is from RNAcentral.